This 71-nucleotide transfer RNA is filed under the name Camelus bactrianus (Bactrian camel). It matches the Rfam family "tRNA". From Rfam's summary of the family: Transfer RNA (tRNA) molecules are approximately 80 nucleotides in length. Lineage: Eukaryota; Metazoa; Chordata; Mammalia; Artiodactyla; Camelidae. The record is from Rfam by way of RNAcentral. RNAcentral also lists the same sequence under 1 other name.
GGGGGUAUGCUCAGUGAUAGAGUACAUGCUUAGCAAGCACAAGGUCCUGGGUUCAAUGCCCAGUGCCUCUG